GAUAAGCGCAUCCGCACACACAGUAUACCCAUCCCCCACCCCUGACUGACUUUUCAACGAACUCCGUUGACACUGGUGGUGACUUCAACCGUCACUUUUCUGUCAUGCAUCUGACUGCAAGCUGUACAAACUCUGCCGUCAUCAUAUCCAAGGCAGUGAGUUGUGAGGACUGCUUCCCUGAGAACACUGAGUGCAUUCUGGAAUAUUCCAAAUGUGUGCCACUUCCAUACAAAAGAAGUUUCAAUCCCGCAAGAGAGUUCACUCACCAGUGGGCUCCAUCAACAGACCAGGGCAAAGUCGGUCUGUCCUGCUACUACUACAUGCUACUUGACUAUGUCUGGAAGCCAUGGCUGCUGCCCUCAACAUGCUAAACUGAAACCCUCACAAAUAAACUGAUAUCAAUAAUUGGUGAUAACAUAACAUUGAUGGUGAUGGUGGCAAGGGUGCCUUCAUAAGGUGCCAUCCAGCAAGUCCCAGCCUGAGGCUGGCACUGCACGUCAGAUGGGGGAGGAUCUAUGAUCUAUGUAUGCAUCAGAAAGGUGGUUUAAGCAAGAAGGAAAGAGCUUCUGCAGACAGUGUUGCAAUUAGACACCUGACUUUUACUGCCAAAGGGACCAUCAGAGCACCUCUCCCUACCAUCUAUACCAGAAGAGUACGGACAAGGGCCCAAAAUGUUUUAAAGGACGUUGCACGCCCAGACCAUGGACUGUUUAAACCACUGUGGUCAAGCAGAAGUCUCUGUUCUCACUCGAGGCAGGUCAUUGAGAGGGGGCGAGUGUCACUGCGUAAGCCCCCUACUGCAGGCGAGAAAGCCAUGUUGAUUUGAAUAUUGAUUGAUAAAUACAAUAAAGACCAUGUAACAAA
Alosa sapidissima (American shad) is the source of this 864-nucleotide long non-coding RNA. RefSeq lists it as uncharacterized. Lineage: Eukaryota; Metazoa; Chordata; Actinopteri; Clupeiformes; Clupeidae. The transcript has 6 exons. The record is from RefSeq and is a predicted model, not a curated record.